GACGAACGCUGGCGGCGUGCUUAACACAUGCAAGUCGAACGGAAAGGCCUUCUCGGAGGUACUCGAGUGGCGAACGGGUGAGUAACACGUGGGUGAUCUGCCCUGCACUCUGGGAUAAGCCUGGGAAACUGGGUCUAAUACCGGAUAGGACCGCACUUUAGUGUGUGUGGUGGAAAGUUUUUUCGGUGUAGGAUGAGCCCGCGGCCUAUCAGCUUGUUGGUGGGGUAAUGGCCUACCAAGGCGGCGACGGGUAGCCGGACUGAGAGGUUGGUCGGCCACAUUGGGACUGAGAUACGGCCCAGACUCCUACGGGAGGCAGCAGUGGGGAAUAUUGCACAAUGGGCGCAAGCCUGAUGCAGCGACGCCGCGUGGGGGAUGACGGCCUUCGGGUUGUAAACUCCUUUCGCCAGGGACGAAGCGCUUUGUGACGGUACCUGGAGAAGAAGCACCGGCUAACUACGUG
This 463-nucleotide ribosomal RNA is filed under the name uncultured bacterium. Its description in RNAcentral is "partial 16S ribosomal RNA". It matches the Rfam family "Bacterial small subunit ribosomal RNA", at positions 28 to 507 of the family's 1533-position model. The record is from RNAcentral.